This 609-nucleotide ribosomal RNA is filed under the name uncultured bacterium. Its description in RNAcentral is "bacterial SSU rRNA". It matches the Rfam family "Bacterial small subunit ribosomal RNA", at positions 338 to 951 of the family's 1533-position model. The record is from RNAcentral.
CCUACGGGAGGCAGCAGUAGGGAAUAUUGGGCAAUGGAGGCAACUCUGACCCAGCCAUGCCGCGUGCAGGAAGAAGGCGUUAUGCGUUGUAAACUGCUUUUAUAUAGGAAGAAAUAGACCUUGCGAGGUAAGUUGACGGUACUAUAUGAAUAAGCACCGGCUAACUCCGUGCCAGCAGCCGCGGUAAUACGGAGGGUGCAAGCGUUGUCCGGAUUUAUUGGGUUUAAAGGGUGCGUAGGCGGUUUAUUAAGUCAGUGGUGAAAGACGGUCGCUCAACGAUUGCAGUGCCAUUGAUACUGGUAGACUUGAGUGGGAUUGAGGUAGCUGGAAUGGAUAGUGUAGCGGUGAAAUGCAUAGAUAUUAUCCAGAACACCAAUUGCGUAGGCAAGUUACUAAGUCUCAACUGACGCUGAGGCACGAAAGUGUGGGUAUCAAACAGGAUUAGAUACCCUGGUAGUCCACACUGUAAACGAUGAUAACUAACUGUUGGCUUUCGAGUCAGUGGUACAGAGAAAUCGUUAAGUUAUCCACCUGGGGAGUACGCCGGCAACGGUGAAACUCAAAGAUAGUGCGNGNGAGAGACGACGACGACGACGAGGAGGGAGGAGG